This 23-nucleotide non-coding RNA is filed under the name Rattus norvegicus (Norway rat). Lineage: Eukaryota; Metazoa; Chordata; Mammalia; Rodentia; Muridae. The record is from RNAcentral.
UUUAAGGUGUUUCUCAGGAGUUA